GGCGGACGGGUGAGUAACGCGUGGGCAACCUGCUCUGUACAGGGGGAUAACACUUAGAAAUAGGUGCUAAUACCGCAUAACGGGGGAAGCCGCAUGGCUUUUCCCUGAAAACUCCGGUGGUACAGGAUGGGCCCGCGUCUGAUUAGCCAGUUGGCAGGGUAACGGCCUACCAAAGCGACGAUCAGUAGCCGGCCUGAGAGGGCGGACGGCCACACUGGGACUGAGACACGGCCCAGACUCCUACGGGAGGCAGCAGUGGGGGAUAUUGCACAAUGGGGGGAACCCUGAUGCAGCGACGCCGCGUGGGUGAAGAAGCGCCUCGGCGCGUAAAGCCCUGUCAGCAGGGAAGAAAAUGACGGUACCUGAAGAAGAAGCCCCGGCUAACUACGUGCCAGCAGCCGCGGUAAUACGUAGGGGGCAAGCGUUAUCCGGAUUUACUGGGUGUAAAGGGGGCGCAGACGGCGAUGCAAGCCAGGAGUGAAAGCCCGGGGCCCAACCCCGGGACUGCUCUUGGAACUGCGUGGCUGGAGUGCAGGAGGGGCAGGCGGAAUUCCUGGUGUAGCGGUGAAAUGCGUAGAUAUCAGGAGGAACACCGGUGGCGAAGGCGGCCUGCUGGACUGCAACUGACGUUGAGGCCCGAAAGCGU
This 646-nucleotide ribosomal RNA is filed under the name uncultured bacterium. Its description in RNAcentral is "bacterial SSU rRNA". It matches the Rfam family "Bacterial small subunit ribosomal RNA", at positions 97 to 762 of the family's 1533-position model. The record is from RNAcentral.